AGAGUUUGAUCCUGGCUCAGAAUCAACGCUGGCGGCGCGCCUAACACAUGCAAGUCGAACGAGAAAGUGGAGCAAUCCAUGAGUACAGUGGCGUACGGGUGAGUAACACGUGGGUAAUCUACCUCUUUGUGUGGAAUAACCCUGGGAAACCGGGGCUAAUACCGCAUAAGCUCGAGAGAGGAAAGCAGCAAUGCGCUGAGAGAGGAGCCCGCGGCCGAUUAGCUAGUUGGCAGGGUAAAAGCCUACCAAGGCAAAGAUCGGUAGCCGGCCUGAGAGGGCACACGGCCACACUGGCACUGAAACACGGGCCAGACUCCUACGGGAGGCAGCAGUGGGGAAUCUUGCACAAUGGGGGAAACCCUGAUGCAGCGACGCCGCGUGAGCGAUGAAGCCCUUCGGGGUGUAAAGCUCUUUCGGCAGGGAAGAUGAUGACGGUACCUGCAGAAGCAGCUGCGGCUAACUACGUGCCAGCAGCCGCGGUAAUACGUAGGCAGCAAGCGUUGUUCGGAGUUACUGGGCGUAAAGGGUGUGUAGGCGGUCUUCUAAGUUUGGUGUGAAAUCUCCCGGCUCAACUGGGAGGGUGCGCCGAAUACUGAAAGACUAGAGUGCGGGAGAGGAUAGUGGAAUUCCUGGUGUAGCGGUGAAAUGCGUAGAUAUCAGGAGGAACACCGGUGGUGUAGACGGCUAUCUGGACCGUAACUGACGCUGAGACACGAAAGCGUGGGUAGCAAACAGGAUUAGAUACCCUGGUAGUCCACGCCCUAAACGAUGCAUAUUUGGUGUGGGCAGUUCAGUCUGUCCGUGCCGGAGCUAACGCGUUAAAUAUGCCGCCUGGGGAGUACAGUCGCAAGGCUGAAACUCAAAGGAAUUGACGGGGGCCCGCACAAGCGGUGGAGCAUGUGGGUUCAAUUCGACGCAACGCGAAGAACCUUACCUGGGCUCGAACGGCCGGUUACCGGCGGUGGAAACAUCGCUACCCCGCAAGGGGGUCCGGUCGAGGUGCUGCAUGGCUGU
Molecule: ribosomal RNA, 1014 nt
Filed under: uncultured bacterium
Lineage: Bacteria
Description: bacterial SSU rRNA
Rfam family: Bacterial small subunit ribosomal RNA
Source: RNAcentral